GUCCAGACUCCUACGGGAGGCAGCAGUGGGGAAUAUUGGACAAUGGGGGGAACCCUGAUCCAGCGACGCCGCGUGAGUGAAGAAGUAUUUCGGUAUGUAAAGCUCUAUCAGCAGGGAAGAGAAUGACGGUACCUGACUAAGAAGCCCCGGCUAACUACGUGCCAGCAGCCGCGGUAAUACGUAGGGGGCGAGCGUUAUCCGGAUUUACUGGGUGUAAAGGGAGCGUAGACGGCUGGUCAAGUCUGGAGUGAAAGCCCGGGGCCCAACCCCGGGACUGCUCUGGGAACUGUGCGGCUGGAGUGCGGGAGGGGCAGGCGGAAUUCCUGGUGUAGCGGUGAAAUGCGUAGAUAUCAGGAGGAACACCGGUGGCGAAGGCGGCCUGCUGGACUGCAACUGACGUUGAGGCCCGAAAGCGUGGGGAGCAAACAGGAUUAGAUACCCUUGUA
RNAcentral lists this ribosomal RNA (446 nucleotides) under uncultured bacterium. RNAcentral describes it as "bacterial SSU rRNA". It matches the Rfam family "Bacterial small subunit ribosomal RNA", at positions 329 to 792 of the family's 1533-position model. The record is from RNAcentral.